GACCGCGUAGCUCAGCUGGAAGAGCAUUGGGCUAGUAUUCCAAAGGUCGUAGGUUCGAAUCCCGCCGUGGCCA
This 73-nucleotide transfer RNA is filed under the name Paramuricea clavata. It matches the Rfam family "tRNA". From Rfam's summary of the family: Transfer RNA (tRNA) molecules are approximately 80 nucleotides in length. Their secondary structure includes four short double-helical elements and three loops (D, anti-codon, and T loops). The record is from Rfam by way of RNAcentral. Lineage: Eukaryota; Metazoa; Cnidaria; Anthozoa; Malacalcyonacea; Plexauridae.